UUUAUCCGAGAAAAAAGAAAAACAAAUAAUAUCUCCUUCACUGAGUCUCCAAUUCUCUUUUCUCUUCGACCUCUCACAGAAUUGUAACACUGAGGGUUCGAGAUCGAGAAUUUAAUGAUAAAGAAGGUCGUUGUCUGAUUCCGUUGGCAGAGUAGAUGGGGAAGAAAUUGAUGGUGGUCUGUUGAUAUCGAGGAGAAGGAAUUGAUGGAAAUUUGCUAAAUUAGGGUUUGGAUUGAGAUAUGAAGAUGAUUCUGAUAAUACUGGUGUUAACAUCGAGGAAUUGGAAUUGGGUUUUGUCUGUAUUAGGUUUUGAGAUGUUGGUGACGAGCUCUGUCCAGAAGAAUUGAUAUUAGGGUUUGGUGAUCUGAGCGAAUUCUGUUUAUAUUUCGGUAAUCUUUUUCGAUUAUGUUGUUGAAUUCAGAGAAGCAGAUUCAGAGUAAACAGCGAGGAAUCGAAGUGGUUUUGAUUGAAGUAGAUUUGGGUUUGUCUCGAAUUAACAGUUCAGAGAAGAUGAUAAUGGUAAAAUUGGAGUUAGGGUUUAUGGUGAAAUUGGAGUUAAGGUUUAUUGAUUUGUCCUGAUUGCUCUGUGAUUGAUUUCUCGGUUGAUGCACGAAUUUCUCGAAAUUGUGGCCCUCAGGUUGAUCAUGCAGGUAUCAUAAGCCAUUGUGAGCAGCAACACCAGUUUAAUCACUGUUACUACAGAAAGUGGUGAGUACCCUUCAGGAACAUACUAGGAAGAUCAACGAAGCCUGAAGGAUUUUUAUGUACCUAAUCAGGUAGUUUUUAUUAAGUUCUUCCCAAUGUCAUAAUAUGCAUUCCCAAAUUGCAUUUUCCAGUCGUAUAAUUACUAGCGCUGAUGUAUAUUGGAAUAUAUUCUUUUCAUUUGUCCUUCGCUAGAAAGGUGUCAUGAGCGGGGAAAGGGGAAGAUACCACUUAAACAUGAUUUUGUCUAUUUGAUCUUUGUCGGCCUUACACACAAGUGCAGUUAGACAUGUAAUAUAUAUUAACUUAAUUUAGUUUGCAUGCGCAUAAACCACUUUGUUAAUCGAUACAUCAUCUUCUACAGAGGUCAUGUACAUCACAAUGCCAGGCUUCUCUCUACGAAAGUUGGUCAAUGGUGCUCGAUAAAUGUCUCGAGCUUACAGUUUGUUAAGAAUCCUGUUUUUGGUUACUGGAUAAAGAAUCCUUUUUUUUUUGUUACUGGAAUUAGCAUCCUCUGACUUAUAUGUUCCUGCCAUUACAGAGCAAGCACAACAGACACCUGGCCCCUACUGAUAAUACAGACUGAUCCGUGAACGUUUGAUUGUGGAAGACCUUCCAUUCCUAGAAAAGACCUACAGAUUUGGGCAUCACUAACUUAUCUGGGUUUUCUUUUAGUAUCUAUAUCUAUCAUUCUCGAAUCCUUGGCAGGGAUGGUGGUACUCUGGGAACUUGCCUUACGGAAUGGGUAGAUAUGCUCAGUUCAGUUUAGCAGAUGGGGGAUUGAUGUGUGAUGUUGUCCAUUGUGGGGCUGUGAAGAAAGCAUACUUAAUUAAAAUUCCCUCUUUGGAUUCGACAUGAUGAUUCUACCUUUCUAGACUGUCCUCUGAGAACUUCCAAUACUAGAUUCUUGAGCAUGCUAUAGAUGGAAAAUCCAAGAUAACAUUGAGGUACUCAUUAAGUAGUUUUUGAAGUUGUUGAGGAGCUAGUUGUUCCUGAGAAUAAAUUCAUAUAAGGGCAAAAUCAGUUUCUUUAAUAAGUGAAUAGAGUUCAAAAGAUAACAGUGGUUUGGUUGUAUGGAUUGCGCUUGACAACCACCCUCUGUAUUGUGAAGCACACAAUUUAUUUUGUGUCCAUAUUGAUGCGCUAAAGGUACGUG
Long non-coding RNA from Papaver somniferum (opium poppy), 1858 nucleotides. RefSeq lists it as uncharacterized. The transcript is spliced from 3 exons. The record is from RefSeq and is a predicted model, not a curated record. Lineage: Eukaryota; Viridiplantae; Streptophyta; Magnoliopsida; Ranunculales; Papaveraceae.